Molecule: ribosomal RNA, 464 nt
Filed under: Vreelandella stevensii
Lineage: Bacteria; Pseudomonadati; Pseudomonadota; Gammaproteobacteria; Oceanospirillales; Halomonadaceae
Description: partial 16S ribosomal RNA
Rfam family: Bacterial small subunit ribosomal RNA
Source: RNAcentral
CCUACGGGCGGCUGCAGUGGGGAAUAUUGGACAAUGGGCGAAAGCCUGAUCCAGCCAUGCCGCGUGUGUGAAGAAGGCCUUCGGGUUGUAAAGCACUUUCAGUGGGGAAGAAAGCCUUGGGGCUAAUACCCUCGAGGAAGGACAUCACCCACAGAAGAAGCACCGGCUAACUCCGUGCCAGCAGCCGCGGUAAUACGGAGGGUGCGAGCGUUAAUCGGAAUUACUGGGCGUAAAGCGCGCGUAGGCGGUCUGAUAAGCCGGUUGUGAAAGCCCCGGGCUCAACCUGGGAACGGCAUCCGGAACUGUCAGGCUAGAGUGCAGGAGAGGAAGGUAGAAUUCCCGGUGUAGCGGUGAAAUGCGUAGAGAUCGGGAGGAAUACCAGUGGCGAAGGCGGCCUUCUGGACUGACACUGACGCUGAGGUGCGAAAGCGUGGGUAGCAAACAGGAUUACAUACCCCUGUGUC